CUCACAUAUGCGCGCAGAUCCCUGGCUCCGGUGCUACUGGGGUCGCACCUGGACGCGGGUUGCAGACCCCUGGCAAAUUGUGGAGCUGGGGGAAGGAUUCAAGAUGGAUUGUCAUCAAAGUUCACUUCUUUAACAAAAGUGGUUUAUGACUUUAAUAAAAUAUUAGAGAAUGGAAGGAUCUGUGGAAGCCCUUUACAAAAACUUGUGAUAGAAAGUUUUGAUGAUGAGCAGACUUUGCAACAACUGGAAUUGCAAAAUGAACCAAUUUUACAAUGCUUCCAAAAUGCAGUUAGUGAAACAAAGAUGAAGACAUCAGUCUUCUCCCAGAGAGUGAAGAACAGGAGUGUGAAGAGGAUGGUUCAGAGACAGAGACUGGUGGCCAGGAGGACCUAGAAGAUUUACAGGAGGAAGAGGAAGUGUCAGAUAUGGGUGGUGACAAUCCUGAAGUGGGCAAGAAAGCUAGAAACUCAAGCAAAUUUGAGCUGAGGAAAAGCCCAGUUUUCAGUGAUGAGGAUUCUGACCUUGACUUUGAUAUCAGCAAAUUGGAACAGCAGAGCAAGGUGCAAAACACAGGACAUGGAAAACCAAGAGAAAAGUCCAUAAUAG
Molecule: long non-coding RNA, 606 nt
Filed under: Homo sapiens (human)
Lineage: Eukaryota; Metazoa; Chordata; Mammalia; Primates; Hominidae
Description: non-protein coding lnc-AKTIP-6:1
Source: RNAcentral